Molecule: small RNA, 763 nt
Filed under: Pan troglodytes (chimpanzee)
Lineage: Eukaryota; Metazoa; Chordata; Mammalia; Primates; Hominidae
Description: retained intron
Source: RNAcentral
GAGGGGCUCUGCGUUCUGUAGUGGUGCCGCUUGGGCCCGUGGCGGAUUGCAAGCUGCUGGUUUUGCGGCUGGGGAGAGCGGCGAGAGGGUUCGGCAUUUUUCGUCGGGAUCCCCGCAAGGAUGAGUGCUGCCAGAGAGUCUCACCCGCAUGGGGUGAAGCGUUCAGCCUCCCCAGACGACGAUCUGGGAUCUAGCAAUUGGGAGGCAGCAGACUUGGGUAAUGAAGAGAGAAAACAAAAGUUCUUGAGACUUAUGGGUGCAGGAAAGAAAGAACAUACUGGUCGUCUUGUUAUAGGAGAUCACAAAUCAACAUCUCACUUCCGAACCGGUAAGAAAGUAAAGUGUAAUUAAAAUGGAAGUGCUAAAUUCAGAAUAUGAAGUAUGUGUUCAUGUUUCAGGAUAUUCUACUUUGGCAUGUAAUUGUGUAAAUUAUUAAAAUAUUAGAAUUAGAGCUGGGUGCAGUGGCUUAAUGCCUGUAAUCCCGGUUAUUUGGGAGGUUAAAGUGGGAGGAUCACUUAAGCCCAGGAGUUUGAGGCUGCAAUGAAGCUAUGAUUGCACCACUGCAUUCCAGCCUGGGCUACAGAGCAAGACCUCAUCUCUUAAAUUUAAAAAAAAAAGGAGAGAAAAAAAUGCUGGGCACCUUGGCUUAUGCUUGUAAUCCCAGCAUUUUGGGAGGCUGAGGUGGGCCGAUCACUUGAGGCAAAUCACCAGCCUGGUCAACAUGGCAAAACCGUGUCUCUACUAAAAAAAAAAAAAAAAAAAA